CAGAACUCGGAACCCUGGAGUCACUGGGCACCACAGUCCAGCGACGGCUGCCUAACAGUCACUUGGCUGGAGAGAGUCAGCAGCGAUCAUGCUGUGCUGCUUUCCCAGGCCUCGAGGCUGCAGCAACAGGACCCCACGCAGGGAAAGCACUUGGGUGCAAGUGAGAGGUUGGAUGGCUGAGUCCCUGUGCUUUAGGCCACUCACCAGGAACUGGUUGGCCAUCAGGGGCAGCACAGGGCGGGUCUCACCAGACCCAGAGACCUGGGGACCUGAGAUGAGCGGGAGCCCAGGGCAGAUCUCCCUGGACCUGGACACCAGAGACUCGGGGCCACCGAGUCCAGGACAGGUCCAGUUAGGCCCGGCCACCACUAUUGUGGCCCAAUGGGAGGAGAGCCGAGCAGAGGACUGCAUGGUGAGGAUGGCACUGGCAGGCAUGCAGCACCCCUCAAGGGAGCCCCCAGAAUGGGACUUCCUGGACAGCCACCCCAUCCACAUGGACUCCCUCCUGUACCCCUCUGGAGCCUGCAUUCCCGCCCUGCAGGAGGGGAUGGUACUAAGGAGAAUCCACCAGCUGAACUCUGGCCCAGCUGGAGCAAGCUGAGCCCACUGAGGCACAGCCCACGGGACCAGCUCCAGCCCCAGCUGAAGUCCCAUAUGUGGAGACUGAGCCAGCUCCACCUGCAGCUUUCUGCCCAGCGCUGGGACCACAGCCAGAGUCCGUGGCAGCCCCUUCACCUGCUGCAGUGCUGGGGCACCCGGUGGUUGCACGGUGGUCGGUGUCACCUCCUGAGCUCCGCCUGGGGCCAGCUCCUGGCCCCCUCCCACUGUUCCCCUCACGCUGGCUCAUGUUCUGGUAUUUACAAUUCCCCUUAUUUCUUGGAUUUAUA
Heterocephalus glaber (naked mole-rat) is the source of this 887-nucleotide long non-coding RNA. The record is from Ensembl. NCBI's taxonomy places the organism in Eukaryota, Metazoa, Chordata, Mammalia, Rodentia, Bathyergidae.